CUUUUAAAAACCUUGCGGUGAGGCAUGGUUUCUGACAUCAGAAAAAAAAGUGAAGUAUAGGCCACUGGACGUUAAGCAACCAAGUAUUAAACCUCACCUUUCCGUGAAGUGUUUACAAUUAUUUGUAUUUUUAAAAAAAAAAAAAAAAAAAAAGGAUAAACAUUUCCAAAAACUGAAAAUAUUUGAGAAGACGCUAUUACCUUAGAAGUAAAAAAUUUACCAGACAGAAUAAACACGGCAGAAACAAACAAACGAAAAAAAAACCAAGAGAACAAUUUGAAAUACCAUAUACAUGUUAAAAUCGGUAUAUACAAGCGGAUUAUAAACGGGACAGGGUUGAGCGAACAUGAAUUUCUACUGAUUACACUAAAGGUGGCAAUCAACCGAUUGAAGCACGU
This 398-nucleotide long non-coding RNA is filed under the name Mytilus galloprovincialis (Mediterranean mussel). Lineage: Eukaryota; Metazoa; Mollusca; Bivalvia; Mytilida; Mytilidae. The record is from RNAcentral.